This 273-nucleotide long non-coding RNA is filed under the name Bos taurus (domestic cattle). Its description in RNAcentral is "long non-coding RNA NONBTAT024425". The record is from RNAcentral. Lineage: Eukaryota; Metazoa; Chordata; Mammalia; Artiodactyla; Bovidae.
GAGUAAACUGUAUGUGAAGUAAAUGUUAUAUGAUAAUUGAUAUGAUGCAUGCAACAAAUAUAGCCACUUACUGUUCCAUGCGUUAAAGAAAUCAUGUGUGACAGAACAAACAAACAAAACAGCAGACUGUCACUGUACCAAAGCGCACAAUGUGUCUUGGUUAUGGCACUUGAGUAGAUUCCUUUGAAUUUCCCAGUUCACUCCAGGAAGGUUUCAGUCCCUUCCAACUUUAUACUGUCACUUGCACACCUUGGGAACAAUGACAAAAAGAAA